GAGAAGCUGCUUGCAUCAAUGCAGCAGCUCUUGGCUUCUUGGCUACUGUGGAUGCAGCACUCCCUGUUUGGCUCAAGUUUGGGCCAGGCCAGGGUUUGAAAAGUUUUUUAAAACAUGUUUUUAAUAACACUGCCAGUCCUGGGGAAAUUUUACUAGGGGGAGGCUGGCGGGGGAAGGGGAAAGCUUCAAAGCUUCAAAGACCCCCUUGUGGCUGCGGCAUCAACCCCAGUUGCUGACAGAAUUACCCCGGGCCUGAUGGUAAACCAGCAUCCCUAGUGUCCAGAAGCAGGGGCCUGCUGAGAACUGCCCAAUCGUACAGACGAUCGAGGCUAUGAGAAAUGGACAAAAGAAAACAAAUUACAAAGAAAGAAAGAAAGAAAGAAAGAAAGAAAGAAAGAAAGAAAGAAAGAAAGAAAGAAAGAAAGACCAGAUAAAACUCAGCUUAGGAACAAACAAAUAUAACACCUCAGGAUCAACUUUUCCUUAAUUUACCUCAGUGACUCUAAAGCUGAGUCAUUUAAUACCCAGGCACAUUUUAAAUGUUGAUUUGAGAUGUAUGAAAAUCCUAUGUGAUCACUGAAUAAUUAGGGAGACAUGUUCUUAAAGCUAACGUAGUGCCAUCAGGGCAUGUGGUAAAUUUUGUAAUUUAUUACGCCUGUAUUUCCAAGACACAGCAAGUUCAUCAUUUUGUUCACCUGAAAUGAUCAUUCAGAAGGCGAGAGACCUCAGAGAUAUGGUUUCUUAAAAUAGAGUGAUCUAGGGGCCUAAAUCAUGCCUGUCAUCUGCAACCCCACUGGAGCUAAGAUGGCUUAAUGCAACGGAGAGGUCAAAAUAUUGCGAAGAAAAGGGCAGUGCAGUGCCCUGCCAGGAAAGAUAUUUGCCUAAGGACCAAGUUACACACUAUGCACAGAUGCAUUGAGUAAUAAGACCCUGAUGGAAUAUCCCUCCAGAAAUACCAAAGAAGGAACAAUACCCACCUUAAAAGGAGGAGCAUCGGGAGAAAUAUAGUUUUGAGUGGUGGUAAAUUGUUUCUCCCCACUAUAAUUUUUUCUCUCCCCAGUUUAAUAUUUUGGGAACUGCUUUGUUAUUUAUGAAUGAAAAGCAGGAUAUAAAUAUAACAAUUCUGAAACCA
Molecule: long non-coding RNA, 1132 nt
Organism: Hemicordylus capensis (graceful crag lizard)
Lineage: Eukaryota; Metazoa; Chordata; Lepidosauria; Squamata; Cordylidae
Exons: 4
Source: RefSeq, a predicted model, not a curated record